Molecule: long non-coding RNA, 2113 nt
Organism: Fukomys damarensis (Damara mole-rat)
Lineage: Eukaryota; Metazoa; Chordata; Mammalia; Rodentia; Bathyergidae
Source: Ensembl
GUGAUGAGACAGAGGUCCACGGGGAUGAGGCACCACGCUGAGAAGGAUCACCCAGCUGGGAACUGCGGCAGUGGGGACUCAAGCAUGCUCUUGUGAACCGCGCCUCAACCUUCUUUCUGCUCUAUCACAUCUCCUCCCGGAGAAACAUGGGCUGGACGGGGUGUAAGAGAAGCAUAUGCAAUAAGAACAACAGAAAAAGCCUGAGUCCUCCCACCUUCCCUGCCCUGGCUUCUGCAAAAGAGCUCCUGUCUGUCUGCCUCCUGCAACAUUGGAGCCAGAUCUUUGCCUGAACCCAGACACCUGAUCCACAUCCACUGGCCUUCUUCCUUCUCAUGCCUGUUAGACCCUGGCUGCAUGCCUCAGACCCUCUGCUGUCCUUUAAGACUUCUACCUGGGCUCAUCCUUCCAGCCUACAACAGACUCCAUUUGUCCAUCACAGAGCAGUUGGUCACGGCAUCAGCCAUUUCUGGUGUUCAGACCCUGAAAGAGGAAGUGAGCUUCUUAAAUUCUGAAUGUCACAGAGCCAUCCUGCCACCCCUCAUCAGUUCUGGGGAUGAGAUGUUCCACCAGAAGGAAAAAUCAGUUGUCCUGACCAUGCUGGUGGGGGCACCACAUUGUCCUUGCCCCUGUGACACCAGGAGGAGAAGGAAAACCAGGGACCAGCUUCAGGUAGAGGAAGGAGCAGAACCUGUGGGCUGACUCACAGAGAAGAAAAAAAAAAAGAAAAGAAAAGAAAAGAAAAAAAGAAAAAAUCAAGGUAAAAUUGCUUCUAAAUUGAAUGUUUUUCACUAUUUUCAGUGUGGUGUCUGCAAUACUCCAAGAUGAUUUCCUCUUGGGGUUUCAGAAAAGCUGUAAAUAGAAUGAAUUGCUUUUAGGGACAUACUCUGGUAGUUCACUUCUCAAGAAAAUAUAUGCUAAUGCAUGUAGACUAUCAUUAUUGGGGAGACCUAUGUACUGACUCUUUUAUGUCUAUGAAGAGCAGUUUUCUGAUUGCUAGCAUUUUGCCAAAGUCUCUGUCAUGCGUGGGCUGAAUAUCUAGCAGAAAGAGGCGGAUUCAGCUAAGACUACAUGCUGAGUCUCUCCUAAGCCAGGGUUGGAGGGGGGUCUUGGUUUGCCCAAAGUUUCUUAUUAAGUGAAAAACAGGGAAAGGACAACUUUGCCUGAGAACCUAAAUGAAAGUCAAACCAGUCCAGACUCACCUGCAAUUCUGGAACCCCUGGGUGAUUUGGAGGCAGGGAAGUCCUCUCCGGGUCACCCACGAGCUCCGCAGUGUGGGCCACACCCAGCCAGAAGGUGGCAGUAUGUCCCACGUGCCCUGGAAGCCUUCGCUGACCAUUUCAGGCCCUGUCUGUAGGAUCAUCUUCCGCUUACCCAGCCAUCGUCUUCUGAGUUUUCUUCUGUUAUGGCAAAGUGGGUUAAACAACACUCGGCUUUGUGAGGAACACAGCCAACAAAUGAGAUAUCAAAUGCAGCUUCCCGUGUAAAAGAUCAGACUCCGGCGGGCACGCACGCCGGCGCUCUGCUGGAACUCCUUGGCUCUGCAGCCAGCUUCAUUUAGGAUUCAUAAAUACCUUUGUGCACUCCCGCACACAGACGCCAAAGGAAUUUCAUUCUGUAUCAUCUGCAUUUAAACACAACAAAGAGGAAAAGAUGUGGACGUUAAAGAGAAAGAAGGAAGUGGCUGUGAAGAAAAUCUGAGGCACCAAGUGGUGGGUGUUUGGUAGAUGAUGACUUGAUGAAGGGUUCGCCAUCUCUCUGUUCUGACAGAAGCAUCAGUUCGUCUAUAGUCUGGUGGGCGAAUGCAGCCCUUUCUGAUGGCAGGGUGCCUUGGUCAACGACACUUCAAACUGCUGCACUGGGUGCUGGUCAAGAUGGACAUCAGCCUUACAAGUGUUGGUCCGAAGGUCCACUUGACAAGCUUCUGGGAACUUUUGAAUUCAGGAAGCAAACUUGAAUGCUUUUGGGAACCAGGCUGAAGAACCUUUGGUAUGAAGCUGGCCAAGUAUGUGGUGAGUAUGUCUGCUCAACCUCAGGGAUGCAGCCGUUACUCAGGUCCUGCUGGUUAUUACCAAAAGGAAAUUGUUGUCAGAUCUCUCAGCACAUCAAAAGAAAC